Molecule: ribosomal RNA, 245 nt
Filed under: uncultured bacterium
Lineage: Bacteria
Description: partial 16S ribosomal RNA
Rfam family: Bacterial small subunit ribosomal RNA
Source: RNAcentral
UACGUAGGGGGCAAGCGUUGUCCGGAGUUACUGGGCGUAAAGCGCACGCAGGCGGUCAUCUGCGUAGGUGGUGACAGUUCUCGGCUUAACUGAGGAAGUGCUACCUAAACGAGUUGACUUGAGGGCCAGAGAGGGACACGGAACUCCGGGUGGAGCGGUGAAAUGCGUAGAGAUCCGGAAGAACACCAAAGGCGAAGGCAGUGUCCUGGCUGGUUCCUGACGCUCAGGUGCGAAAGCUAGGGGAG